UCUAACAAUUCUAUUUGAUUGUGCUCACUUGGAACGAUACAGAGAAGAUUAACAUGGCCCCUAGCGCGAAGGAUGACACACAAAUUCGUGAAGCGUUCCAUAUUUUA
This 107-nucleotide small nuclear RNA is filed under the name Tupaia belangeri (northern tree shrew). Lineage: Eukaryota; Metazoa; Chordata; Mammalia; Scandentia; Tupaiidae. The record is from RNAcentral.